CAUUCGGAUUGUAGUCUGCAACCCGACUACAUGAAGCUGGAAUCGCUAGUAAUCGCAGAUCAGAAUGCUGCGGUGAAUACGUUCCCGGGUCUUGUACACACCGCCCGUCACACCAUGGGAGUUGGAAAUGCCCGAAGCCAGUGACCCAACCGUAAGGAGGGAGCUGUCGAAGGUGGAGCCGAUGACUGGGGUGAAGUCGUAACAAGGUACC
RNAcentral lists this ribosomal RNA (211 nucleotides) under uncultured bacterium. Its description in RNAcentral is "partial 16S ribosomal RNA". It matches the Rfam family "Bacterial small subunit ribosomal RNA", at positions 1288 to 1500 of the family's 1533-position model. The record is from RNAcentral.